This 253-nucleotide ribosomal RNA is filed under the name uncultured bacterium. Its description in RNAcentral is "partial 16S ribosomal RNA". It matches the Rfam family "Bacterial small subunit ribosomal RNA", at positions 524 to 776 of the family's 1533-position model. The record is from RNAcentral.
UACGUAGGGUGCAGGUGUUAAUCGGAAUUACUGGGCGUAAAGCGUGCGCAGGCGGUUUGUUAAGACAGAUGUGAAAUCCCCGGGCUUAACCUGGGAACUGCGUUUGUAACUGGCAAGCUAGAGUGUGGCAGAGGGGGGUGGAAUUCCAAGUGUAGCAGUGAAAUGCGUAGAUAUUUGGAGGAACACCAAUGGCGAAGGCAGCCCCCUGGGUUAACACUGACGCUCAUGCACGAAAGCGUGGGGAGCAAACAGG